CUAGAAUCAUCUACUGAACUGUAGACAAACGUGUCCAGCAUGUACCUCAGAGCUGAAGAAGUUGUGUUUAGUGCCAGAUUCAUGUAUGCCCCGAUGGAAACAGCUUAAGGAAGAAAAUCAGUUCCCACCAGGCUCCCACCAGGUUCUUCAUCAUUUUAUCAAACAGCAGAAGAACCUCACCAAAGACCAGUCCAGUGAAGUUGCCUAUCUUAGACUGUCAACUUCUAGUACUGUGAGAAAGUGCAUUCAUUCUUCUGGGGAAAGAAACGAAGACCCAGUGAUGUAGAAGCCGCCAGGACCACAAGUGCUACUGUUCUUUCUCAUGUGCUGUUUUCUUUCUGUGAACUCUGAGACGCCACUAAUGAGAAUAGCCAAUUACUACAUCUGUUGACCAAGAGCAAGCUCCGCUGCCCAUUAACACAGCCUUCUCUGGCCAGUCACUCUAAUGAGAAACUGGAUAAUUGCAGGACUCUUGGUCAAUAGUUGAGAAUUUUAGUUUAUGUUGAAUUUAGAGCCAGAAUUUGUUUUGAUGUUUCAAGCCUAAUUAGAUUUAUUUUAUAUAUAAAGAAAUGCCGACUUUUUUUUCUUUUCGUGACCCCAAAUUCUAGAUAUAUUUUGUACAUCAGAGAAUAAGAGAUUGAG
Molecule: long non-coding RNA, 642 nt
Filed under: Mus spicilegus (steppe mouse)
Lineage: Eukaryota; Metazoa; Chordata; Mammalia; Rodentia; Muridae
Description: lncRNA (ENSMSIG00000012598.1)
Source: RNAcentral